GCAAGGGGGUCAUCCCGACUUACCAACCCGAUGCAAACUGCGAAUACCGGAGAAUGUUAUCACGGGAGACACACGGCGGGUGCUAACGUCCGUCGUGAAGAGGGAAACAACCCAGACCGCCAGCUAAGGUCCCAAAGUCAUGGUUAAGUGGGAAACGAUGUGGGAAGGCCCAGACAGCCAGGAUGUUGGCUUAGAAGCAGCCAUCAUUUAAAGAAAGCGUAAUAGCUCACUGGUCGAGUCGGCCUGCGCGGAAGAUGUAACGGGGCUAAACCAUGCACCGAAGCUGCGGCAGCGACACUAUGUGUUGUUGGGUAGGGGAGCGUUCUGUAAGCCUGUGAAGGUGUGCUGUGAGGCAUGCUGGAGGUAUCAGAAGUGCGAAUGCUGACAUAAGUAACGAUAAAGCGGGUGAAAAGCCCGCUCGCCGGAAGACCAAGGGUUCCUGUCCAACGUUAAUCGGGGCAGGGUGAGUCGACCCCUAAGGCGAGGCCGAAAGGCGUAGUCGAUGGGAAACAGGUUAAUAUUCCUGUACUUGGUGUUACUGCGAAGGGGGGACGGAGAAGGCUAUGUUGGCCGGGCGACGGUUGUCCCGGUUUAAGCGUGUAGGCUGGUUUUCCAGGCAAAUCCGGAAAAUCAAGGCUG
Molecule: ribosomal RNA, 639 nt
Filed under: Escherichia coli
Lineage: Bacteria; Pseudomonadati; Pseudomonadota; Gammaproteobacteria; Enterobacterales; Enterobacteriaceae
Description: partial 23S ribosomal RNA
Rfam family: Bacterial large subunit ribosomal RNA
Source: RNAcentral